RNAcentral lists this ribosomal RNA (875 nucleotides) under uncultured fungus. RNAcentral's name for it is "SSU rRNA". It matches the Rfam family "Eukaryotic small subunit ribosomal RNA", at positions 564 to 1471 of the family's 1831-position model. Lineage: Eukaryota; Fungi. The record is from RNAcentral.
GUGCCAGCAGCCGCGGUAAUUCCAGCUCCAAUAGCGUAUAUUAAAGUUGUUGUGGUUAAAAAGCUCGUAGUUGAACCUUGGGCCUGGCUGGCCGGUCCGCCUCACCGCGUGCACUGGUCCGGCCGGGCCUUUCCCUCUGUGGAACCCCAUACCCUUCACUGGGCGUGGCGGGGAAACAGGACAUUUACUUUGAAAAAAUUAGAGUGCUCCAGGCAGGCCUAUGCUCGAAUACAUUAGCAUGGAAUAAUAAAAUAGGACGCGCGGUUCUAUUUUGUUGGUUUAUAGGACCGCCGUAAUGAUUAAUAGGGACAGUCGGGGGCAUCAGUAUUCAACUGUCAGAGGUGAAAUUCUUGGAUCAGUUGAAGACUAACUACUGCGAAAGCAUUUGCCAAGGAUGUUUUCAUUAAUCAGGAACGAAAGUUAGGGGAUCGAAGACGAUCAGAUACCGUCGUAGUCUUAACCAUAAACUAUGCCGACUAGGGAUCGGACGGUGUUAUUCAUGACCCGUUCGGCACCUUACGAGAAAUCAAAGUGCUUGGGCUCCAGGGGGAGUAUGGUCGCAAGGCUGAAACUUAAAGAAAUUGACGGAAGGGCACCACCAGGGGUGGAGCCUGCGGCUUAAUUUGACUCAACACGGGGAAACUCACCAGGUCCAGACACAAUAAGGAUUGACAGAUUGAGAGCUCUUUCUUGAUUUGUGGGUGGUGUGCAUGGCCGUUCUUAGGUGGUGGGGUGACUUGUCUGCUUAAUUGCGAUAACGAACGGAGACCUUAACUGCUAAAUAGGCCGCAUUGCUUCGGCAGUGCGCUGCUUCUUAGAGGGACUUUCGGCUCAGCCGAAGGGAGUUUGGAGCAAUAACAGGUCUUGUGGAUUGC